AUAAAGGAUUUUUUUAAAUCCAUUAUACGGAACCUUGCAUAUAGAAU
Molecule: non-coding RNA, 47 nt
Organism: Gorilla gorilla gorilla (western lowland gorilla)
Lineage: Eukaryota; Metazoa; Chordata; Mammalia; Primates; Hominidae
Source: Rfam